RNAcentral lists this ribosomal RNA (165 nucleotides) under uncultured bacterium. Its description in RNAcentral is "partial 16S ribosomal RNA". It matches the Rfam family "Bacterial small subunit ribosomal RNA", at positions 1335 to 1500 of the family's 1533-position model. The record is from RNAcentral.
CUAGUAAUGGCAGGUCAGCAUACUGCCGUGAAUACGUUCCCGGGCCUUGUACACACCGCCCGUCACACCAUGAGAGUUGGGAAUACCCGAAGCCUGUGAGCUAACUAUUAGAGGCAGCAGUCGAAGGUAGAAUCAAUGAUUGGGGUGAAGUCGUAACAAGGUAUC